UUUUGAAAUAAAAUUACUAUUAUAACUUAAAUUGAAGGAACACAUGUUAUUAAACUUCUGAUAUCCUUUAUGAUGUAACAAUAACACACAAUCAAUUGCAGCAUGAUUGUCAAGUAUGGCUUGACAAUGUUGUUUUUGUUCUUCAUUAAGCCUAUUUACAUCCAUGGAGGCAUGAUUAAUACUGUUUAUGAUAGCAUAGGCGAGUUUCAUAGUAGUUUGCACAACUACUGAAUCAUUACAGAUUUUAUCAAGAGGAAUAGACCUUUUAUGAAUAAAUUCCACAGGAUGGUGACCUAUUAAAUACUAUGUGGAUGGUAAGGACACAUUAUUCUGCUAAGACAACAAUGAAUACCAUGAGACAUUUUUACAGGUAUAUGACAGUUUCAUACAAGUGAGUCAAGAUAUUGUAAUGGGUUCUAGAAGUCCAGGAUCUGACAGUACUGAAUUUCCCACAGCUGGUGUACACAAAACAGAGCAACAUUGUUAUUAAGACUGAAGCAUUUACAGAGUUUUGUGUGAGUUUAGCAAACAAAAUUAUCUAGAGUACAUUCUAACCCCAUUUUAGCCAACACCUGUUGAGCUGAGGCUGUUAAUGGUUUUAUACCCCCCAAGUAACUAGAAUUCAAGUAUCUUGGGGUCCUCUUUUAAUGUAUCUCCUCUUUUGAGGAGAAUGAUUAUUCUCUUGUUUGGAUGGACUCUUCUCAUCCAGGGUUAAAUGAAACUUGGAAAUCAGCUUGUGAAGUCCCUGAUGUUCAUUUAUAAUUGCUAUUUUUCAUACAUGAAGCUAGAGUCCAAACAGGACAUGUUGGCAUCAGUGUAGCACUCUAUGCUUUUCCUCAUGUGAUCAAAGGCAUAGGAUCUUGUCAUGCUGGUGAGGUGGAACCUCAGAUAUUACAUAAUUAUUUUUGGUAAUGGCUGUUUGAGAAUAAAAUGUCUCUAUUCAAUGCAGAUGACCAAUUUUGAGUAUUUACUUUAUGUUGUAUAUUGAGCACAUUAACUGUAAAUAAAACAAUAUUUAAUGCAUAUUAAUAUAAGAGAGGAUAGAUCUUUGUUUGUUUCUGUUUUAAAAGGCAAGUAUUAGGAUACAAUUUGCUCACUCAACCAAAG
This 1107-nucleotide long non-coding RNA is filed under the name Marmota monax (woodchuck). Lineage: Eukaryota; Metazoa; Chordata; Mammalia; Rodentia; Sciuridae. The record is from RNAcentral.